This is a long non-coding RNA of Xiphophorus hellerii (green swordtail), 806 nucleotides long. RefSeq lists it as uncharacterized. The transcript is spliced from 3 exons. NCBI's taxonomy places the organism in Eukaryota, Metazoa, Chordata, Actinopteri, Cyprinodontiformes, Poeciliidae. The record is from RefSeq and is a predicted model, not a curated record.
GUAGGACGUCAUGAAAGCUUCAAAGCAAUAGGCAUAAUCAUUUCUGGGAAUAGCUGAAAGAGGAAUGCUACCCAUCUGAGCCUGGGAAUCAGACUAUUUAAAAAUAUUACAUAAGUAAGGUACCACAAAAUUCCUGAAAAAAACUUUUAAAACUUUAAUUUAUGCUACAUAAGGUUACAAUACCAUGUGACGGACAUCACAAUAGAAAUCAUUCAUCCUGAAUUUCACAUUUGAAUUCAACUGGAAUCAUAAUGGAGUUUCGAGUCAUAUUAAGUCUUCCAUUUCUUGCAGCUGCUGUUGCUGCUGAUGCACUUGGAAUUGCCAAUGCUACAUCUUCUCUUGAAUCUACCGGGCCAACAACACCCACAGUUCCUCCAACAUCCACAUCUGUUCCUUCAAUAACAACAAACACAAUUGCUCCCACUCCCACUUCAGCUGCUUCAAAAACUACAGCUGUUCCUCUAACAAUUACUACAGUUCCUCCUGCCAUAACCUCAAUUUCAUCUGCAACAACCACAGUUGUACCUCUAACAGCAACAACAGCUGCACAAACAACUGCAGCUGUUCCUUCAACAACAACAGCUGCACCAACCACAACCACAGCAGCUCCAACCACAACCACAGCUGCUCCAACCACAACCACAGAUGCUCCAACCGCAACAGCUUCUCCAACCACAACAACAGAGACACCAUCCACAAGAACAGUUGCUCAAACCACAACAGAGACAACAACCACAACCACAGCAGCCCCGGCAACAACAACAGUUGCUCCAACCACAAAAACAGUAGCUCCGACGACAAGAACA